This 338-nucleotide long non-coding RNA is filed under the name Marmota monax (woodchuck). Lineage: Eukaryota; Metazoa; Chordata; Mammalia; Rodentia; Sciuridae. The record is from RNAcentral.
GUUAAUUUUUAGGGCUGAGUAAUAUUCCAUUGUGUAUAAAUGCCACAUUUUUUUUAAUCCAUUCACCCAUUGAAGGGCAUAUAGAUUGGUUCCAUAGUCUAGCUAUUGUGAAUUAUGCUGCUAUAAACAUUGAUGUGGCUGUGUCCCUGUAGUAUGCUCUUUUUAGGUCUUUUGGGUAUAAUUCAAAACAAAUAUUUCCACUCAUUUCUCACAAAAUGCACCUUAUAACUAUAAAGAAUAAAAUUUAUAAUUUGGUACUUCAGAUGUCAAAGACAAAGCUAGCAUUAAAAAAUGCCCAAUUCUAUGUAUUAGAAACUAAAUGAAAUGCAAAAAUAAAG